RNAcentral lists this long non-coding RNA (555 nucleotides) under Homo sapiens (human). RNAcentral describes it as "long independently transcribed non-coding RNA 2639 (LINC02639)". Lineage: Eukaryota; Metazoa; Chordata; Mammalia; Primates; Hominidae. The record is from RNAcentral.
AGUAACAGUGACACUCCAAGACCAAGAGAGAGGCCGCCCUGGUGGGGUUCCGCUUGCUCACUCGCGCGUGGUGCAGUCUGGGGCACAUUAUUUAUUUAAGCCAUGUGAACUCCAGCUGCCAACCUAAAAUGAGGAUGAUGCUACUAUCUACUUCAUGGAUUAUUCUGAGGACAAAAGGAGCUAACCCACGUACAAUGCACGGCUCUCCACCCAGGACUAAGAAAGGUUCACUGCAGUGGCUUCUGUUUUUGAUGCUGUAUCAGUAAGUCAUCAGUUUAAUGAAAUGAGCAACACCUGAUCCCUCUGUCUGAGACACAUGGAUGAGAUUCCUGAGAAGGAAGCUGGGCGGUUGUUUCUUGGUUUGGAGCAGAGGAGGAAGUGUUACAUAUGGUGUUGAGAUGCUGGCACUGGAUCUCACCCUUCCUCUGUAUGACUGUCCUUCAUGUGAUAGGACCACACUUGUCACCGUCCUACCUACAUCCCAGCGCCAGUCUCCACCUCAUCCAGAGGCGGUUAAUAAAUGCUCCCUCAAUGGAAAAAAAAAAAAAAAAAAAA